This 255-nucleotide ribosomal RNA is filed under the name Nocardia farcinica. RNAcentral describes it as "partial 23S ribosomal RNA". It matches the Rfam family "Bacterial large subunit ribosomal RNA", at positions 2168 to 2422 of the family's 2925-position model. Lineage: Bacteria; Bacillati; Actinomycetota; Actinomycetes; Mycobacteriales; Nocardiaceae. The record is from RNAcentral.
ACGCCAGUGUGGUGGGAGUCGUCGUUGAAAUACCACUCUGAUCGUAUUGGACUUCUAACCUCGGGCCAUGAUCUGGUUCAGGGACAGUGCCUGGUGGGUAGUUUAACUGGGGCGGUUGCCUCCUAAAAUGUAACGGAGGCGCCCAAAGGUUCCCUCAGCCUGGUUGGCAAUCAGGUGUCGAGUGCAAGUGCACAAGGGAGCUUGACUGUGAGACUGACGGGUCGAGCAGGGACGAAAGUCGGGACUAGUGAUCCG